CACGCCCUGGAAUAAAAAUAUUGCAAACUAAAAUAAGAAAAUGCACUAGUUUGUUUGCUUUCCAGUCAUGCAAUACAGAAGAUCAAAGUAUGGUGUCUCAGUUUCCUGCCUCCUGUUCCACUGCAGAAACAGUGCAGAGUUAAAGAUAAUUGGUAGGGAAAAUUAACACUGCGUAUAGGAAUUUUGAUAUCAGUGCAACAGUUCUCUAAUCUCAAAGAAUUAUGUUUUACCCUUUCCCCUCUCUUCUGGAGGCCCGCCUUGAAUUUCCAUUUCUCUAUGGUCAGAGGUUCCUGGUCCAUCAUGCCAAGGACGCUUGCGAGGUGGCAGUGAUGCCAUGUCCAUUCCCUGGAUUGAGGAAGAACGUUCUCGACUUGCUGGAGAAUGACCAUCAUGAGGUGGAUGAUCCUGGCGGGGACCUAACCAUGAUGGGGGGGGGGGGG
Molecule: long non-coding RNA, 440 nt
Organism: Podarcis raffonei (Aeolian wall lizard)
Lineage: Eukaryota; Metazoa; Chordata; Lepidosauria; Squamata; Lacertidae
Exons: 2
Source: RefSeq, a predicted model, not a curated record